UAGGUGAUCAAGCUCAAAAACGAUGGGACAGUCUAAGGGCUAUGUGGUCACGUCAACAUAAAAAAUACUAUGAGCAAGGGCGAUCAGGAUCGGGUGCAAGCCAAGACACCCAGGAAUUCCAGUAUUAUGGUGAAAUGUCAUUUCUUGUCCCACAUUAUAGUUCACGGCAAACCAAAUCAAACAUGAAGCGGCCUGCAUCAUGUAUUUCUAAUGAUGAAUCAAGUGGAUCUUAGUUUGUUAUUAACAAACCGUCACCUAUAAUCAUGGACAGUUCAUGUAUAGGUAUUCAAGGCACUGCAGACGUUGAUACUGCACAAUCUGAUACGUACACGUAUGAGAGCAUAUCUUUGAGCAGUGAUGACAGUCUGCUGUCAAUAUCACAACAAUCAUCAUAUGACAA
Molecule: long non-coding RNA, 400 nt
Organism: Pseudomyrmex gracilis
Lineage: Eukaryota; Metazoa; Arthropoda; Insecta; Hymenoptera; Formicidae
Exons: 3
Source: RefSeq, a predicted model, not a curated record